Molecule: ribosomal RNA, 229 nt
Filed under: uncultured bacterium
Lineage: Bacteria
Description: partial 16S ribosomal RNA
Rfam family: Bacterial small subunit ribosomal RNA
Source: RNAcentral
UGAGUAACACGUAUCCAACCUGCCGUCUACUCUUGGCCAGCCUUCUGAAAGGAAGAUUAAUCCAGGAUGGCAUCAUGAGUUCACAUGUCCGCAUGAUUAAAGGUAUUUUCCGGUAGACGAUGGGGAUGCGUUCCAUUAGAUAGUAGGCGGGGUAACAGCCCACCUAGUCAACGAUGGAUAGGGGUUCUGAGAGGAAGGUCCCCCACAUUGGAACUGAGACACGGUCCAA